This 291-nucleotide long non-coding RNA is filed under the name Musa acuminata (dwarf banana). RNAcentral describes it as "long non-coding RNA (MACU_LNC004458)". Lineage: Eukaryota; Viridiplantae; Streptophyta; Magnoliopsida; Zingiberales; Musaceae. The record is from RNAcentral.
UUGAGCUUUACAAUCAAGAUGUCAUAGCCAAUUGAGUGCAUAGGUUUCAGGAGUUAGAGAGAUGCUUUUGCUAAUGCACAAAGUCUUCACCAGGAAACAAUUUCACCUCUCCAUCAUGAUUUAGUGAUAGCAAUUCUCAGAAAGUAAAUACUACAAAGCUCAGUAAAGGGGAAACAGAACAGAAUCAUACCAAGAGGUGGCCUUGGAGAGUGCCACUGCCGAAACCGAAGGAAGCCUUGGUCGGGCCGCGGCCAGAGAUCUCGUCACGCACGUAGGCGAUCCGGAGCGGCA